ACCCCAUUCUUCUUUCCUCAGCCAGAUGCUCUCUCUGCCGCUGUGCCGCCUUAAGGUAUCGUUUUCCCCUCUCUCUCUUCUCAUCUAUAAAGAAACAAUUGAAGAAUAGCUCGUUGUAUAUGUUACAUUUAGAUUUGGUUGUUUUUGGUUUUGCACGAUCUCCCGGGCUUCUCUGACUGGUUUUGAUUGAAGAAGAACGCCCCAAUGUUCGUGCUAGAUCGCGACGCCGUUCAGUGUUGCAGUUUAGCCUUUGUACCUUUCUGUUCCAUGGCUGAAUUUGUGUCAAUUUGACGGCUACAUUCUUCAAUUUUAAGUUUUUUUCUAUCAGUUCGCGGUGUUGCCCGCCACACCUCUAGCUUUUUUUCUGAUCGAAAUGGUUGCGCUGGAAAAAGGUCUAGUCAUGGGGGCACAGAUCGAUCCCGGCGGUGUCAACGUGGGGCUAAACUAUUUACUUCUGUUUUGCUCCUAAGAACAUCGCUAUAGUUUUACAUGAGUUUUCUUGCUUUUUUUCCUAUCAAAUUACAUGAAUGCUUGGCUGUGGUCUGUUCCCUGUUUCUGUUUCCCGAAAAUUAAGAGUUUUUAGGAUAUUCUUGUUUUUGAAAGCGGCUUAUAGAAAACUGGAAAAUAAAAUGUAGCUUAUUUUUUUUUCUACCUAUAAAGUUCUUCCUUUUUGUGUUUCCUAACUUUGUUGGCAAUGAUUAUAUUUUAUCCGCGCUUCUGAAAUAUUGAUGAAGCAUAAACGAAAUAGAAUGGUUGAAUUUCUUGAUAUGAGCUGACGUUGAAGUUGUGCUAGUACUUCGGUCUGUAAGUAUUCUUUAUUGUUUUUUUAACCGGCAGUGAUGAUCAUUUACAGCUUUUAAACGCCAGUUCUGCUUCAGAAAAUUCUUGAUUGAAAGAGCUGUCAUGUACUCUGAGCCUAAAUUUCACAGUGAAAAAUGUGUUUAUCUUAUAAUAUUCUUUCAGAUUUUUUACUUGUGAAUCCACCUUCGCUUGAUUUUCUUGGACAAUUAGUAAUGAAUCUUUAACUGAUUUAACGUCUGGAUGGUUUUGGAGAUUAUGGAAAUAUGGGUUGGUGAUUGAUUGUUUUUUUUCUUUAUUGUCAUUUUUGUUGUUAAUGUUAUUCAUCUGCCAGUGAUGAUAUGAUCCAUGUUGUUUGAGCUGUAGGUGAGCCAAGUCCCUGUAUUUGCAGGGAGAACCUACUUGGCGAACCUCCAUUGCAUAUGAUAGUUAAGGAUUUUACUGAGGCAAAAUGGUAUAAUGUAUUUUGUUUUCAGAUAAGUGGUAAAUGCAUUGUUUUCCAACUAAUGAAGUGUUUGGGGCUCAAUGAGGUGUACUCAUUGUAUCUUAUUUUGUUCCCUAAGAGCAUAUGAUAGAAAAAGCCUUCCUGUUUAGGACUCUAAUAUUUAUUUGUUUUUAUUGUCACUUGAAUCCCAGAGAGUUGUUGAACUGCGUAGGAACUUUGUAGAAUGUACAUUCCAGAAGAUAUAGAUUGGAUAUGAAUUUUUUCAUUUUCAGUUGUGGCAUUAAUGUUAUUUAGUUUCCAGUGAAGAUAUGUUCCAUGUUGGUUGAGGUGUAGUGGAGCUAAGUCCCUGUAUUUGCAGGGAGAACCUACUUGGUGAACCUACAUUUUGCAUGAUAUUAUCGGAUCUUACUGAGGAAUAAGGAUUUCAUUUUUUGACAAACAUAGAUUGCAUUUAAAAUGGAUAUCUGUUUUGUGGUCAGUUGCAAUUCUUUAUAUUAUAUAGUUGAAAUUGUAACCCAAGUUUGGGGUGGGUCAGAACUUGGUAGCAUAUUUCCUCGAUACAUGGAUUCAGAAUGAGUAAUCUUUCAUUGUAUUCAUUUGUUGCAUUGAUGUUAUUCAACUGCCAAUGAUUAUAUGAUCCAUGGUGGAUGCAGUGUAUGGUAGCAAAUCCUUGCCUUUGUAGGGCAUUCUAUAUAGUGAACCUGCACUGGAUAAUGAUUAAGGUGUAAAAAAUUUAUUUUAAAAGGUGUAUUUAUUGUACUUUAUUUUAAAUGUUUACACACUUUUAUUGAUUGAUAAAUAUAUUUGUUUUUUUAAUAUAUCAAUAAUGAGUGUUUAAAUUUUAAAAAUAAUGUGCAAUAAAUGCAUUUUGUCUAAAAACAAGGUACAUUUAUUGCAUCUUAAUUAUUGUGGCAGUGGAAAUGGGAAAUGUUUUUGAUAGAAAACGAAAAUGUGAAAACGGAUAUUUUUUUAGAAAAAUAAGCAUAAAUAGGUCUGAAACGGGAAUAAGAAACCUUUUGGAAAGGGGGUGUUUCUGUUGCAGUCACCUGAAUCUGGGGAGUUUUAAAAAUUGCCACUUGAUCUGGGACACUACUGUGUAGUUUGUUUGCUGCGAAAUUGGUGAAGGGAAGAUUUAUUUUAUUUUCACCAUGAUUACGAUUGAGUUUAACUAUACCCUUCGCUCUUGUAAUUGGUGGGUUUAGGGUCUGAAAAACUCAAAUAUUCUGUGUUGUCAUCAGCUUCUUCUUUUGUAUUAUCUCACGAGAUUGGAGUUAAAUAACAGCACUAAAUUCAUUUAUUUGGUAGGGACUAUCCAUUAUUAGGUAUAUUAGUACUUUAGAUUAGAUGCAUAUUUUGGUUGGUCACUUGCUGCAUAUAAAUCUCAGAAAUAGGGCUUGAUAUGUUUGCCGUUAUCAUUUGAAACUUGAGCCCUUCUUGAACCCUAUUCACACUAUGAAUAUUUCCAUUAAUAUUCUGAUUUUCAAUUUGUACAUUUCCUCUUGUGAAAUGUUGAUUCUCAAUUCGUACAAGGGUUUAGAACUGCCUAGACCAUCUUCCAUGUAGAGGUGCUGUUAGAGAGACAGAUCUCGAACUUAAUAAUGUCGUGCACCAUCUUAUUAUUGUGGUUAACCAGGGAUGCAUCUAAACCCUUAAUGUCAACUAGAUCGGAUGAUGAAAGUUGGUCCAGGCAGGAAGUUUCCACCUUUUAUGCACGUGAUUGACGUUGGUGGAUUACUGGAUUAUGUAGAAGACAUUAUAUGACAGAUAGAUGACGUGGCAAUGAAAUAACGUGGAAUGCUAAUAAUAUAGGGGAAGUUUACUGACGUUUAUAUAUUUGAGUUUGCUUAGUAUAGGGGAAGUGAACUCUGAAAGCAGUCUCUGGUAUAAAAGAAAGAACGUUUCAAUAAACUUCUACAGUGCUUCUAGGGUUACUAAAGAUAAACGGAGGACAAUCAAGCAUCAGUCUAGUUGGUUUGAUCUAAUGGGCCGCAAGUGUGCUGUCCCGGUUGAUCAUCAAUGGUUUGAUGAAGUAACGGUCAUGGAUUGUAUGAAAACGAUUGAAUAUGUUCCUGCUGCGCUGGAUUGGAGGAUUCUGGGAAAUGAAAGGGUAAUGAAAGUAUUAAGUAUUAUUAGCCCCACCGCAAGUUCCUGUGGCGUUAACGCUUACUGCAGACCAAAUCAACUAACCCUACUUUAGUGCUUUUGUGAAAUAGGCUAUGAUGGGAACCCCUGUCCUACGGAUGUCAAGGUAAGAGUUCUAUGUAGCCUUAUUUCCAAAUCAAGUACAAAGUCACUCACAUGUUAUUUUCCUCGUGCUUUCUCUUUGGUGAAUGCCAGAUAUUUACAUGUUAUUUUUCUCGUGCUUUCUGUUUGGUGAAUGCCAGAUAUUUACGAGUGUGCAAAAGAUAGCCUGAAUAGUUGUAGCCACAGGUGUAUAAAUACAAAUGGGAGCUACAAAUGCGAUUGCCCCUUGGGGAUUUGUCCUCGUUAGGGACGGCUCUCGGAAGAAGGCAAUCGUUCUGGGAAUUUGCACAGGUCUUGGAGUACUAAUUUUAAUACUUGGUGUUUGGUGGUUGUGGAAAGUAAUGAAGAAAAGAAAUUAACCUAAGGAGAAGUGUUUCAAAUGAAAAGGUGGCUUGUUAUUGGAACAACAGAUAUCAUCAAGGGUAAUGUUGAGAAUACCAAGUUAUUCGCAUCAAAGGAAUUGGAGUAGGCCACCGACAACUACAACAUGAACCAAGUUCUCUAGGUCGGGAAGGCCAAGGAACUUUUUACAAAGGUAACAGAUAGAAAAAUUGUUGCUAUCAAGAAGUCUAAAGUGUUAAAAUAAUUCAUCAAUGGGGUUGUCAUUUUAUCAAGAGAAAACCACAAAACAUUGUUGUUAAAAUAAAAUUUUGAUUUGAGAUGCACAUAUAGAAUUAGAAUUAAGAUAAAAUUGGAGUGAAUCAUGACUUUAAUUUUUAAAUUUUAUCUCAAAGCUUUUUAUGGAAUUCAAGUAGAUUGGGUAGAAAGUGAGGUGGAAUUUUAAUUUCAUUGAAUUCUAAUUCUCUCCUCACUUCUUAAGAAUUUUAAUUUUUUAUUUUCAAGAAAAAAAUUUAUUUAUUGAUUUAAGGGUAUGUUUGAUUGCAUUACUUAGAAUUUAAUUUUAGGUAAUGAUUGUCUAAAAAAUAAAAAUUAUUUCACCUUUUUGAAAAAUAAAUUUUAUGAAAGAAAUUUUAAAUAGUUGUACUUUAUACAUUUUUUUAUAGAAAAAUUGAAAGAUUGUUUGAUUAUUUUCAUAGAAAAUAUGUAAUAAUUAUAUAUUUUAUAUGGUAAAUGUGAGCAAUCAAUUACACUCUAAAAUGAAAUUCAAAUUUAAUAGGGAAAAAAAGUUGUUUGAUGAAAUUUUUUAAAAUUUAGAUAGAAAAUGAAUUCUAUUUUUUUUUUUUACUCGUAUCAAAUGUACCCUUAUUAAUGUUGAAAUCUGAAUUGAGGGUUGCCUUCAGCCGAACCCAUUUCUCUCUAACAGUCUUUGCCAAACUCCUUUUUCUCUCUAAUAGCCUUCGUCAAACCUUUUCGUCAUAUUUUCCCCUUGUACUUGUUACUUAGUGUUUGAUGCUAUUGUUUGCUCUGCUUUUCAUCGUUGCAAAUCUCAAUUAUGUGGUGUCUUCUUGAGAUGAUCGUCCUUACACGAUUUUUGGUAUUUGUGUCUUCGAUUAUAUUAAGAGAGGUAAAUCUCAAGUUGGGCAUUUGACUCUAUGCAAGACGAGAAUUGAAUUUAUAACUCAUUAGAUUGACACUGACAUAUUACUCAUCCGACCAUUUAGUUACGAGGUCCCUCAGUUUGAAUGGUGUUUGGUUGCACUUAGUAAAAACGUUUUUGCCCACAUGUUGCACAAGUUCUGCAUUUGAUUACUAAAAUAUUUUUUUUUAUUAAUACAUAGUGAGAUAAAAGCUAAAUAUGUUGUAGUUGUGAUAAAUUUGCUCAUUGAAAUGUUGCAUGAAUUGCUUGCAAAAUGAAAAGAUCUGUUCCAACAAGAAGAACAACCAAACCAAGUUAUAUCAAUGGUUUUUUUUUAAGUAACUUUGUUUCUGCUCAUGGUCAAUAGACUAGUAUUUCCUAUUCUCAAUUCAAUGAACUUUCAGGAAGUCAUUAUAAACAAUAUUAAUUCAUUUUUAAGCAAUAUUAAUUUGUUUUUAUAAAAUUCUGUUAUUAUUAACAUAAAUUUACAUAAAUUAAAGGAUAUUUUUAGUUAUUUUUAAGAUUUUACAAAUUUACAAUUCAAAUUUAUAAUUUCGAUUUUAUGGAUCUUUUUUUAAUUUCAUUCAAAAUCUCCAUUUUAUCAACCAUGCACCUAAAUGUGAUUAAGCUGCUUGGAUGUUAUUUAGAGACAAAAGUUCCAAUGUUAGUUUAUGAGUUCAUCCUUAAUGGAACUCUCUUCCAUUUUAUGCACGACCAAAAUGAGGAGUCUCGCUUACCUGGGAUCUAUGCUUGCAGAUUGUUGCAGAAGUUGCAGGUGCUCUAUCCUAUCUGCACUCAGCAGCUGCCAUUCCCAUUUAUCAUUGUGAUAUCAAGUCUACUAACAUACUUUUAGAUGAUAAGUAUAGGGCAAAAGUCUCUUGAAUUUGGCACUUCAAGAUCAAUUCCUAUUGACCAAACUCACUUGACCACAUUAGUUCAGGGCGCCUUUAGUUACUUAGACCCUGAGUACUUCCAAUCAGGUCAGUUCACAGAAAAGAGUAAUGUCUAUAGUUUUGGGAUAGUUCAGGGCGCCUUUAGUUACUUUGGGAUAGUACUUGUUGCGCUAUUAACAGGGCCAAAGCCAAUUUUGUCAGCUAGAUUGGCUGAAGAAGGGAGGGAGGUUGUAAUGGAGUUGGAAGGUAUCAAAAUGCCUAAUGGAGCUUUAACUCCUGUUAUGGAGACUCAUUGUGAAGAGCAUGAAUAUACCAUGGAUGAAUUUUCUGGACCUUGGGAGCCUGCUUCACCUUCUACAGGAUCGUUUUCGAGUGGAAGCACGAUUCAAGUAUCAGAUGCCAAAUCCCAGUUGUUAAGAGAAGUGAUUGUAGUGGGAAAAUUAUAUUGUUCCAGAAUUUGUGAGAAGAACGAGGCAUCUUGUUUCUGAAUUUGAUUAUGUGAACAAAUGUUUUAAAUCAGUUGGAAAUUUUGACAACCCCUCUUAUGGGUGUUCAAGUUCUGUGACUGAAAGUUAAGUGGAAUACAAAUUUGUUCAGUUAGAGGGUAUAUUUGAGUUUGUAUGUAGGAGGGAGGUCAACAGUGAAACUACUCUGCGUAUUAUUUCAUUAAGCAAAGAAGAAAUAUCCGUUUUGUUUUUU
Diospyros lotus (date-plum) is the source of this 6556-nucleotide long non-coding RNA. RefSeq lists it as uncharacterized. Lineage: Eukaryota; Viridiplantae; Streptophyta; Magnoliopsida; Ericales; Ebenaceae. The transcript is spliced from 2 exons. The record is from RefSeq and is a predicted model, not a curated record.